ACGAACGCUGGCGGCGUGCUUAACACCUGCAAGUCGAACGGGUCUGCCCUGUUUUUUGCGGGGUGGGUCAGUGGCGAACGGGUGAGUAACACGUGAGUAACCUGCCCCUCACUUCUGGAUAACCGCUUGAAAGGGUGGCUAAUACGGGGUGUUCUGGCUGUGCCGCAUGGUGUGGCUGGGAAAGAUUCACUUUUGUGGUGUUUUGGUGGGGGAUGGGCUCGCGGCCUAUCAGCUUGUUGGUGGGGUGAUGGCCUGCCAAGGCUUUGACGGGUAGCCGGCCUGAGAGGGUGGGCGGUCACACUGGGACUGAGAUACGGCCCAGACUCCUGCGGGAGGCAGCAGUGGGGGGUAUUGCACAAUGGGCGGAAGCCUGAUGCAGCGACGUCGCGUGAGGGAUGGAGGCCUUCGGGUUGUGAACCUCUUUCGCCGGUGAAGAAGGUCCUGCUCUUUGUGGUGGGGUUGACGGUAGCCGGGUUAUGAAGCGCCGGCUAACUACGUG
This 499-nucleotide ribosomal RNA is filed under the name uncultured bacterium. Its description in RNAcentral is "partial 16S ribosomal RNA". It matches the Rfam family "Bacterial small subunit ribosomal RNA", at positions 29 to 507 of the family's 1533-position model. The record is from RNAcentral.